CUGUGCCUAGGGGGGCAGCAGUGGGGAAUAUUGCACAAUGGGGGAAACCCUGAUGCAGCAACGCCGCGUGAAGGAAGACGGUUUUCGGAUUGUAAACUUCUGUUCUUAGUGAAGAAUAAUGACGGUAGCUAAGGAGCAAGCCACGGCUAACUACGUGCCAGCAGCCGCGGUAAUACGUAGGUGGCAAGCGUUGUCCGGAAUUACUGGGUGUAAAGGGAGCGCAGGCGGGAAGCCAAGUCAGCUGUGAAAACUACGGGCUUAACUU
This 265-nucleotide ribosomal RNA is filed under the name uncultured bacterium. RNAcentral's name for it is "partial 16S ribosomal RNA". It matches the Rfam family "Bacterial small subunit ribosomal RNA", at positions 333 to 615 of the family's 1533-position model. The record is from RNAcentral.